This is a long non-coding RNA of Marmota flaviventris (yellow-bellied marmot), 204 nucleotides long. RefSeq lists it as uncharacterized. The record is from RefSeq and is a predicted model, not a curated record. Lineage: Eukaryota; Metazoa; Chordata; Mammalia; Rodentia; Sciuridae.
UGUCAGGGUUUCUGCCUGGAAGUGAACCCAUGUGCACGCAGUGCUGCAGGGGAGCUGGCUGGAGAAACACUGAGCCUGGGGAGAGUCUGAGGUCAGGGGUGACAGAAAUAUUGACCAAAUCAAGGUCAGCACUUGGAAGACCUGACGUGAUCCCAAAGAUUGGAGGCCAGCCAGCGAGAGGAGCAGCAGCUCCCAGCACUCUUA